AGCAGCCGCGGUAAUUCCAGCUCCAAUAGCGUAUAUUAAAGUUGUUGCAGUUAAAAAGCUCGUAGUUGAAUUUCGGGGUUCUACCGUUGGUCGGGCUAUUGUCUGUACUGGCGUGUAGAAUUUCUACCUUCUGGGGAACUAUCAUGUUAUUAAUUUAGCGUGGUAGGAAACCAGAACCUUUACCUUGAAAAAAUUAGAGUGUUCAAAGCAGGCUUAUGUCUGAAUACAUUAGCAUGGAAUAAUAAAAUAGGACGGUGGUCCUGUUUUGUUGGUUUCUGAAUCACCGUAAUGAUUAAUAGGGAUAGUUGGGGGCAUUAGUAUUCAAUUGUCAGAGGUGAAAUUCUUGGAUUUAUUGAAGACUAACUACUGCGAAAGCAUUUGCCAAGGAUGUUUCAUUAAUCAAGAACGAAAGUUAGGGGAUCGAAGACGAUCAGAUACCGUCGUAGUCUUAACCAUAAACUAUGCCGACUAGGGAUCGGAUGAUGUUAAUUUUUUAAUGUACUCAUUCGGCGCCUUAACG
RNAcentral lists this ribosomal RNA (520 nucleotides) under uncultured Scutellospora. Its description in RNAcentral is "SSU rRNA". It matches the Rfam family "Eukaryotic small subunit ribosomal RNA", at positions 569 to 1093 of the family's 1831-position model. Lineage: Eukaryota; Fungi; Glomeromycota; Glomeromycetes; Diversisporales; Gigasporaceae. The record is from RNAcentral.